GGCUCGGACAGAGGCGGGGACAGCAGGGCUCCGGGCAAGGCGGUCUGGAUGCUGAGGGCGGUCCCUGAGGGGCGGGCGGGGCCCGACCGGCGCUCUGUGUGGCCGAGGCGAUGAAGCCUCAGCCGCCCGGCUAGGCCGUGGGCGGCUCUAGCCCAGGGCGGCCCGCGGGGCGCUGGGCCUGGCUCCCGGCUCCGGUUUCCGGGCCGGCGGGUGGCCGCUCACCAUGCCCGGCAAGCACCAGCAUUUCCAGGAACCCGAGGUCGGCUGCUGCGGGAAAUACUUCCUGUUUGGCUUCAACAUUGUCUUCUGGGUACUGGGAGCCCUGUUCCUGGCUAUCGGCCUCUGGGCCUGGGGUGAGAAGGGUGUACUCUCCAACAUCUCAGCGCUGACAGAUCUGGGAGGCCUUGACCCCGUGUGGCUGUUUGUGGUAGUUGGCGGCGUCAUGUCGGUGCUGGGCUUUGCUGGGUGCAUCGGGGCCCUCCGGGAGAACACCUUCCUGCUCAAGUUUUUCUCCGUGUUCCUCGGCCUCAUCUUCUUCCUGGAGCUGGCAACAGGGAUCCUGGCCUUUGUCUUCAAGGACUGGAUUCGAGACCAGCUCAACCUCUUCAUCAACAACAACGUCAAGGCCUACCGGGACGACAUUGACCUCCAGAACCUCAUUGACUUUGCUCAGGAAUACUGGUCUUGCUGCGGAGCCCGAGGCCCCAACGACUGGAACCUCAAUAUCUACUUCAACUGCACUGACUUGAACCCCAGCCGGGAGCGCUGCGGGGUGCCCUUCUCCUGCUGCGUCAGGGACCCUGCGGAGGAUGUCCUCAAUACCCAGUGUGGCUAUGACGUCCGGCUCAAACUGGAACUGGAGCAGCAGGGCUUCAUCCACACCAAAGGCUGCGUGGGCCAGUUUGAGAAGUGGCUGCAGGACAACCUGAUUGUGGUGGCGGGAGUCUUCGUGGGCAUCGCCCUCCUCCAGAUCUUUGGCAUCUGCCUGGCCCAGAACCUCGUGAGUGACAUCAAGGCAGUGAAAGCCAACUGGUGAGGCCGCCACAGGCCAUGGCCACAUGCCCGGCCUACCCAGGCCUCUGGGGGGCCCCCCAGGACCCUCCUCCUAUACUCGUGAUGGGCAAGGCUGCAGGAGGCGUUCCUGCUGGGACUGAGCCCUGAGGGGUUUGCCUGAGCUGCUGUGCUGUCCACCCACGGAGAAAGCUGCCGUGCCUCUGCCUGGGCCGCUUGUCCUGUGAGCAAAUGGAAUGAUGACUUUGAAAACCACUGGCUUACACCCACCGUUUCCGAGGUCCUGUCCACGGCGGGGCCUCAGCAGAACUCUGUGAUUGGGGCCCCUGGCCUGGCCCCACCCAGCCGACAUGCUUUCUUUGGCCUGGGUGGUUUAUACCCUGAGCCAACCUUUAAAAAUUGGUAGAUUUCACAUAAGCGUCCAGACCCACAGCUUCUCUUGAAGAAUGACCACCUGACUACGCCGGCUCUUCAGUGGCAGCACUACCUGGGACACUGCCUCCCCAGUCACCGAGGGCCCAGCUGGCCCGUGCUACUCACCUAAGUGCCGCCUGACGCUUGUACACUAGGAGCUGGCCUCUCCUGCCGCUGCAGGUUAUUCCCUGCACCUCGAGGCCGCUGCGGGCCAACCUGGAGUGCAGCACAGGGACCUGAAGGGUGGGGAGGCUGGACCCCACUCUGAAGAGGGUGCAGCCUGGGAAGGGCGGCUUUGCUGGGGACUGCGGUGCGAGUAGAGUGCCCAGGAGAGGGUCUGAGGGGUGGGUUGGGGUCAGGACAAUUUUGCAAAAGAAGCAGCUGGAAGCCAUGGGACUGGGGGGAGCCUGUUUGGGGGCUCUGGAUGGUUGAUUCCUAGGAAUCAAGUUCAGCAUCUUCGCCGUGGCUGCAGAGCUGCCUGAUGGGCACUAGAGGGCGCGCCAGCCCCACACUCCCUGGGUCUGGCUUCCUCCUGCAACCUCACUGUGGUAGAGCCUGUGCCUGCCUACUAGCGCCCCGGGCUUCCGAGAGUUUGGGAAUUUCUCAAGAGCCAACUGGCUCAGGCUUGGGAAGGCUGACUGCUGCCCUCAGCUCCGCCUCAUCAGCUAUGUGAAGGGGUAUGUGUGGAGUGAUCCUGCCGCCCCCUGCCUGGGCUCAUCCAGAUAUCUCAAAGUCAGAUGCCCCUGGGUCCACGUAGGUGGUAUAAACGGAUGAAACAGGCCCUUGAGUUGGGAGCCUGCUUCACUGUGACUUUACGUCUGUUGCUGGAGACAAAGACAUCGUGAUGAGAGAAAGUUCUCACAAGCUAGUCGGUAACAGCCACUUACCUUGAGACCAACAGAGUGUGGUGGGGAUGGGGGCAGAGCACGGGUCCCCAUCUGACAGUGGCCGCUGCCAUAUUCAGAUGUAGCUAAUUGCUGUGGUGUGGGAAUACAGGCCUAAUGCCAGAAAUCUGGAGAAGCCAGAGAUACAGAUUUGUAUGCAAGAUGUCCUGAUUUUUUAAGUUGUUGGCAGAAACGAAUUCAGAAAUCAAAUCUGCAGGCCAAACAAGGUGCAGGGCCCAGUUUUGGCCCCAUGCCCCUGUAGGUCCCUCCAGGACAGUCACCCCUGGGGCCCUGGCUGCUCUGCUAUUCAGGGAUGCUGGGCACUGCUGCUGGGUGGCCAGGGUGUGGGGCAUGCGCCCAGCAAUGUGGCUCCUUGGCCCCGCUGGACAGUGUCCUGGGCCCCUGACAGGCGCUGGCUGGGAGUGGUUUAUACAUAUACAAUAAAUGCAGCUCGCAGCAUUGUGCA
RNA transcript from Macaca mulatta (Rhesus monkey), 2775 nucleotides. It is a transcript of the gene named tetraspanin 17, with no coding region annotated. NCBI's taxonomy places the organism in Eukaryota, Metazoa, Chordata, Mammalia, Primates, Cercopithecidae. The record is from RefSeq and is marked provisional.